CCUCCCAGGUGUCCUGCGCAGAGCUGGUGCCCAGUAGCAGCAGGAAGCCCAGAGCCCAAAGGGCCUUCCGGCCCCAGCAGCCCAUCCUGAGGCUAGUGGCAGGGUUUUCUUCAGCACGAGUGACCUCCGCAGGCCCGGGAGAGGAGUACCCAGGCAGGAAGUAUAGACCACCAGACUAAGAGAAUUCUGGGAAGAGGAAAAGCAGAAAUGCAGCUGCGCCAGAAGACGAAAGGCAGAGAUGCAGCCACCAGCCAGACUCAGAGGAAACAAGAUGAGAAUGUUGCGCUGAGAAAAGCUCUGUCUGAAAUCCGCCGCCACUCCUCCGUCACAGGUGGCUGCUGCAGCAAGCUAAGAGCCUCGAGCUCUGGAACAAACUCUCGGAAUUGCAAAACUCCGUCCUCAGCUGGGAAAUGGGAUGAUACCAGAGCUCAUCGGCCAUUGCCAGCAGGAUCCCGAGACAUGUUCCAGGAAAGCGUGCUGUCCCAGGGCCAGGCUUAGUGACUGCAGCUGCCCCCUUACCUACUCAGUCUGCAGCUCAUCCCUUCCCAAAACUCAUUCACUCCCCUGAACAUUCCCUGCUUAAGAAUGAGAUCAGCCCCAGGAGCUGCUUCCCCCCUCCUUCCUCCUCCUCUCCCUCUCUUUCUUUUGAGAGAACAUCUCACAUCGCCAGGCUGGCCUUGAACCACCAUCCUCUUUGCUGUGCCCCGUGAUACCUGACUUGUACCAACAGCUUCUUAUCCUACCACCCAUGAGUCUAAAUGGAAAUAUCAGUCCUCAGAGGUCCAGCCCUGCUAUGUCCCCGCAAAACCUGAGACCUGACCUUAGAUGAGAAUGCAUUCGGAGACACGCUCUGGCCCUAAAUGACCUGUCACACUGGUCACAUGCUUCCCUUUCCAAACUGUAUUUUUGAAUCCUGUUAUGGCUGAGCUGUUUUAACUUCUGAUUUUCUAGGUUUCUUGAGGUCAAGUUUAUGUUAAAAGCAAAUAUGUAUGCACAUAAUUGUGUUUUCAAUCACUAUUAAAAUAAGAGCUAUUUCCAGGCUGUGGUGGCACAUGCCUUUAAUUCCAGCACUCAGGAGGCAGAAGCAGGUGAAUCUCUAUGAGUUUGAGCCCAGCCUGGUCUACAGAGUGAGUUUUGGGACAUCCAGGUUGCUUCAUAGAGAAACUCUGUCUUAGCAAACAACAAAUAUAAAAUAGAAGCUAUUGAUGUUAUCAAGUCA
Long non-coding RNA from Alexandromys fortis (reed vole), 1219 nucleotides. RefSeq lists it as uncharacterized. NCBI's taxonomy places the organism in Eukaryota, Metazoa, Chordata, Mammalia, Rodentia, Cricetidae. The record is from RefSeq and is a predicted model, not a curated record. The transcript is spliced from 3 exons.